RNAcentral lists this ribosomal RNA (373 nucleotides) under uncultured organism. RNAcentral describes it as "partial 16S ribosomal RNA". It matches the Rfam family "Bacterial small subunit ribosomal RNA", at positions 527 to 896 of the family's 1533-position model. The record is from RNAcentral.
GUAGGUGGCAAGCGUUGUCCGGAAUUAUUGGGCGUAAAGCGCGCGCAGGCGGGUCCUUUAAGUCUGAUGUGAAAGCCCACGGGCUCAACCGUGGAGGGUCAUUGGAAACUGGGGGACUUGAGUACAGAAGAGGAAAGCGGAAUUCCAAGUGUAGCAGUGAAAUGCGUAGAGAUUUGGAGGAACACCAGUGGCGAAGGCGGCUUUCUGGUCUGUAACUGACGCUGAGGCGCGAAAGCGUGGGGAGCAAACAGGAUUAGAUACCCUGGUAGUCCACGCCGUAAACGAUGAGUGCUAAGUGUUAGGGGGUUUCCGCCCCUUAGUGCUGCAGCUAACGCAUUAAGCACUCCGCCUGGGGAGUACGGCCGCAAGGCUG